UUGCAGUGGUCUAGAGUGAGGGGUUAUGGCAGGGGAAACGGUGUUGCCGUAGUCUAGUGUGAGGGGUUAUGGCAGGGGAAACAGUGUUGCAGUAGUCUAGUGUGAGGGAUUAUGGCAGGGGAAACGGUGUCGCAGCAGUCUAGUGUGAGGGAUUAUGGCAGGGGAAACGGUGUUGCAGUAGUCAAGUGUGAGGGUUUAUGGCAGUAGUCUAGUGUGAGGGAUUAUGGCAGGGGAAACGGUGUUGCAGUAGUCUAGUGUGAGGGAUUAUGGCAGGGGAAACGGUGUUGCAGUAGUCUAGUGUGAGGGGUUAUGGCAGGGGAAACAGUGUUGCAGUAGUCUAGUGUGAGGGGUUAUGGCAGGGGUAACGGUGUUGCAGUGGUCUAGUGUGAGGGGUUAUGGCAAAAGAAACGGUGCUGCAGUAGUCUUGUGUGAGGGUUUAUGGCAGGGAAAACAGUGUUGCAGUAGUCUAGUGUGAGGGGUUAUGGCAGGGGUAACGGUGUUGCAGUAGUCUAGUGUGAGGGGUUAUGGCAGGGAAAAGAGUGUUGCAGUAGUCUAGUGUGAGGGGUUAUGGCAGGGAAAACAGUGUUGCAGUAGUCUAGUGUGAGGGGUUAUGGCAGGGGUAACGGUGUUGCAGUAGUCUAGUGUGAGGGGUUAUGGCAGGGGAAACAGUGUUGCAGUAGUCUAGUGUGAGGGGUUAUGGCGUGGGAAACGGUGUUUCAGUAGUCUAGUGAGGGGUUAUGGCGUGGGAAACGGUGUUGCAGUAGUCUAGUGUGAGGGGUUAUGGCAGGGGAAACGGUGUUGCAGUAGUUUAGUGUGAGGGGUUAUGGCAGGGGAAACGGUGUUGCAGUAGUCUAGUGUGAGGGGUUAUGGCGUGGGAAACGGUGUUGCAGUAGUCUAGUGUGAGGGGUUAUGGCAGGGGUAACGGUGUUGCAGUAGUCUAGUGUGAGGGGUUAUGGCAGGGGAAACGGUGUUGCAGUAGUUUAGUGUGAGGGGUUAUGGCGUGGGAAAUGGUGUUGCAGUAGUCUAGUGUGAGGGGUUAUGGCAGGGGAAACGGUGUUGCAGUAGUUUAGUGUGAGGGGUUAUGGCGUGGGAAAUGGUGUUGCAGUAGUCUAGUGUGUGGUGUGGGAAUAAUGACAAGCGAACCUGGUGAGCUUUUUGUUCACAUUGCCCUAAAAAGGGAACCGGACUAUGGAAUUCAAGUGAACCAAAUGUGAGGGGUUUUAGUUCGGUUCGCUUCUGGGCUCUUUUGAGGGGUUUGAGUUCCUUUGGAGUGUUCACACUGCACAAGCAAUUAAGCAAACUGCACUGAGUUCACAAAAAUAAGUUAUAGUUCACAAAAAUAUAUUAUAA
RNAcentral lists this long non-coding RNA (1350 nucleotides) under Salmo salar (Atlantic salmon). RNAcentral describes it as "lncRNA (ENSSSAG00000092311.1)". Lineage: Eukaryota; Metazoa; Chordata; Actinopteri; Salmoniformes; Salmonidae. The record is from RNAcentral.